Molecule: long non-coding RNA, 1330 nt
Filed under: Panax ginseng (ginseng)
Lineage: Eukaryota; Viridiplantae; Streptophyta; Magnoliopsida; Apiales; Araliaceae
Description: long non-coding RNA (PGIN_LNC005646)
Source: RNAcentral
UACUUUACAACUUAACUUCACAUUCUAUCCUAAGCUGAACUUGGCAUUAUCCUUUUCCUGUAACUGGCCGUAUUCGCCUUAUCUGCAAUGUUUUAUCAUGAUAUAGCAAGGGUGAGCAUGAAAGUUGCCCAACAAGUUUAAAAACAAGGUAAAGAUAUAUCAUGAUGGAAAGAGUUUGAAUAAUAAGCUGACUAUCCUUCACAAUGUAUUUGUGAAUUAGCAUGAACAAAGUUUUGACUGAACAAGUAUUGAACAGGAACAAUAGUAUAUCUGGACCAACUGGUAAUGAAGGUGAUCAGCCUUUCAUACCCGACUUAUACAUGCAAGAUGUACAGAGUACAAUUCAUAAGCAUAUCUGUCUGAAACCACUCUUAAAAGAGUUUAAGUAAAAAGAACUUGAAAAACUUGCCUGAACCAUUGAUUACCGUAACGCAAUAUAAUAAGCUUCUCCUGAAGACCUAAUAUUAAUAAUAUAGAUCUCCAAUAUUAGAAUAAUAUCAUCACCGUUAUAAAAUAACUUAAACACAUAAUCCUAUCAAUCUAUACAGCAUAUAAAACCUAUAAUAGAUCUUUCGAUUAGUCAUAACAUAUAGUUAAGUAUUAGACAUUAGUUUUAAGUCUUAAUAUUCUUAUUAUACUUUGAUAUUCUUUUAAUCACAUCAUAACUUGUACUUAUAAGUUAUUCAUUUUUAUAUGUUAUCCUAGUAAAUUAGAUAACAUCUUAGUAAACCGAAAUACCAUUUCAGUAAGACGGAUUUCAUUUCAGUAUCCUGAAAUCAAUAUUCUUUUUCAAAAAAUACCAAAUCAACUUAUUAUUUUUCUAUCCUUUGGUCAAACACAUAUACAUAUAUUUCAUACACAAAAAUUAUUUUUCCAUAAUUUUCCAAGUUCCUUUAGUAUUUUUUCAAAAAUCAUUUCUAGUUAAUUCCUUAAGAAAUUAGCUACCUUGUGCUUAACUCCAGAGAUGCCCAUCUUUUGACAUAACCUUAUAUAUAUUAACGUGAUGCUCUAUUUUAAAUUUCGUGGCAAUCGGAGUUGUAGAACUCCGGUUAUAGCGAUUUCCGUCGUAAAAUCACAAAAAUUGAAAUGGUCAUAACUCGGUCAUUUUAAGUCGGAAUUAGCUCAUUUUUGGACACGAGGUACUUAAUACCAUGUAUUUUCAUUUCCCAAAAGGCCGGAAUUUAUUUCACACUUUAAGUUGCCAAAACAGCCCCUGGACAGAUCUGGACAGAAACUUUUUGUCAUUUGGCAGUUUUGGAGUCCUUUACUAAAUCUUAAAUAAAAUGAGAUCUGUAACUCCGAUUAACGAUCCGUCAAUUUUAUUGGAUUC